AUUGAACGCUGGCGGCAUGCCUUACACAUGCAAGUCGAACGGUAACGGGCCUUCGGGUGCCGACGAGUGGCGAACGGGUGAGUAAUGCAUCGGAACGUACCUUUCAGUGGGGGUAACGUAGCGAAAGUUACGCUAAUACCGCAUAUUCUGUGAGCAGGAAAGCAGGGGAUCGCAAGACCUUGCGCUGAUUGAGCGGCCGAUGUCAGAUUAGCUAGUUGGUGAGGUAAAGGCUCACCAAGGCGACGAUCUGUAGCGGGUCUGAGGGGAUGAUCCGCCACACUGGAACUGAGACACGGUCCAGACUCCUACGGGAGGCAGCAGUGGGGAAUUUUGGACAAUGGGCGCAAGCCUGAUCCAGCCAUGCGCCGUGAGUGAAGAAGG
RNAcentral lists this ribosomal RNA (381 nucleotides) under uncultured bacterium. Its description in RNAcentral is "bacterial SSU rRNA". It matches the Rfam family "Bacterial small subunit ribosomal RNA", at positions 30 to 414 of the family's 1533-position model. The record is from RNAcentral.